Molecule: ribosomal RNA, 202 nt
Filed under: uncultured bacterium
Lineage: Bacteria
Description: partial 16S ribosomal RNA
Rfam family: Bacterial small subunit ribosomal RNA
Source: RNAcentral
ACGCUCGACACCUACGGGGGGCAGCAGUGGGGAAUAUUGCACAAUGGGGGAAACCCUGAUGCAGCGACGCCGCGUGAGCGAAGAAGUAUUUCGGUAUGUAAAGCUCUAUCAGCAGGGAAGAAAUUGACGGUACCUGACUAAGAAGCACCGGCUAAAUACGUGCCAGCNGCCGNGUAUCNGNGGCGGGUCGUCGGACGAAGGC